This 166-nucleotide ribosomal RNA is filed under the name Arabidopsis thaliana (thale cress). RNAcentral describes it as "5.8S ribosomal RNA". It matches the Rfam family "5.8S ribosomal RNA". From Rfam's summary of the family: 5.8S ribosomal RNA (5.8S rRNA) is a component of the large subunit of the eukaryotic ribosome. It is transcribed by RNA polymerase I as part of the 45S precursor that also contains 18S and 28S rRNA. Functionally, it is thought that 5.8S rRNA may be involved in ribosome translocation. Lineage: Eukaryota; Viridiplantae; Streptophyta; Magnoliopsida; Brassicales; Brassicaceae. The record is from RNAcentral.
AAAACGACUCUCGGCAACGGAUAUCUCGGCUCUCGCAUCGAUGAAGAACGUAGCGAAAUGCGAUGCACUUGGUGUGAAUUGCAGAAUCCCGUGAACCAUCGAGUCUUUGAACGCAAGUUGCGCCCCAAGCCUUCUGGCCGAGGGCACGUCUGCCUGGGUGUCACAA